Molecule: long non-coding RNA, 555 nt
Organism: Culex quinquefasciatus (southern house mosquito)
Lineage: Eukaryota; Metazoa; Arthropoda; Insecta; Diptera; Culicidae
Exons: 2
Source: RefSeq, a predicted model, not a curated record
UGGCGACCAAUCCAAGCAAAAUACAAUCAAUUUUACAGUUAAGCGUAGCAGCUUUGGCAUUUCUUGCUUUUGCUGGAUAUCUAUUGUGUAUGAUUGUACAAGCUAUUAAGAGUAAAGGAAUAACGUAUUUCCAUCAAGCAGUCUCACCUGUUGCCAUUUCAGCCGCCAGUAAAAAAAAAAGACCCAUAAGAAACAAACGACACCUCGGGUUAGAUAAUGAGGAGAAACAUGGAAACAAUUGUUUUAGAAUUGUAUACUUUCCAAUAAUCCGGGCCUCUGAAUACAUUGUUCAGAAAUUCUUGCUUGCGGACAAUCUUACUCACUGAGAACUUACUUACUCGAGAACUAAACUGAACUCGAGCCAAAUCGACUCGAGCCUCGAGCCAAAAUUCUCGCUGAUUAGCCAAGGACAACAUUGUUUGAUAUUGUUCUCACCGAGACUAAAAAGAAAAUAACAAUUUAGAGCAUUACGAAAGCCAACAAGCGCUCCUAACCUUAUUUAAAGUAUCUACUUUCUAAAUUGUUAAUAAAUGCACAAAAAACAUCAAAACUGUA